RNAcentral lists this ribosomal RNA (381 nucleotides) under uncultured marine Chaetocerotaceae. RNAcentral's name for it is "SSU rRNA". It matches the Rfam family "Eukaryotic small subunit ribosomal RNA", at positions 587 to 972 of the family's 1831-position model. Lineage: Eukaryota; Bacillariophyta; Thalassiosirophyceae; Chaetocerotales; Chaetocerotaceae. The record is from RNAcentral.
AGCUCCAAUAGCGUAUAUUAAAGUUGCUGCAGUUAAAAAGCUCGUAGUUGCAUUUCCGAGGCAAGGGAUUAGUCCGACCUUUGGUGGGUAUUUAAUCCUCUUGCCUCGUCCUUGCGUGGUGCUUCUUGGUAUUAAGUUAUCGAGGAGAUAGCCGCUCAUCGUUUACUGUGAGAAAAUUAGAGUGUUCAAAGCAGGCUUAUGCCGUUGAAUAUAUUAGCAUGGAAUAAUAAGAUAGGACCUCGGUACUAUUUUGUUGUUUUGAGAACCAAGGUAAUGAUGAAUAGGGACAGUUGGGGGUAUUCGUAUUCAGUUGUCAGAGGUGAAAUUCUUAGAUUUACGGAAGACGAACUACUGCGAAAGCAUUUACCAAGGAUGUUUUCA